This 59-nucleotide ribosomal RNA is filed under the name Ceratobasidium sp. AG-A. RNAcentral's name for it is "partial 18S ribosomal RNA". Lineage: Eukaryota; Fungi; Basidiomycota; Agaricomycetes; Cantharellales; Ceratobasidiaceae. The record is from RNAcentral.
CCUCAGUGCCAUCCAAAAAGAANCCUUCGUUGGUUGACCUUGCGGAAGGAUCAUUAUUG